GCACCACCUUUGUCCCGGCGCAGCGCCCGCACGGCUCCGCCGGCCCAGGCUCGGUGCCACAGCGAAGCGCUUUGCCAUAACUGGUGCUGCGCGGCGCGCCCCGCGCAGCGCUUUUAACAGCAACGCACAGCG
RNAcentral lists this small nucleolar RNA (132 nucleotides) under Callipepla squamata (scaled quail). Lineage: Eukaryota; Metazoa; Chordata; Aves; Galliformes; Odontophoridae. The record is from RNAcentral.